CCUACGGGUGGCAGCAGUGAGGAAUAUUGGUCAAUGGGCGCUAGCCUGAACCAGCCAAGUAGCGUGAAGGAUGACUGCCCUACGGGUUGUAAACUUCUUUUAUAAAGGAAUAAAGUGCAGCACGUGUACUUUUUUGUAUGUACUUUAUGAAUAAGGAUCGGCUAACUCCGUGCCAGCAGCCGCGGUAAUACGGAGGAUCCGAGCGUUAUCCGGAUUUAUUGGGUUUAAAGGGAGCGUAGAUGGGUUGUUAAGUCAGUUGUGAAAGUUUGCGGCUCAACCGUAAAAUUGCAGUUGAUACUGGCAUCCUUGAGUACAGUAGAGGUAGGCGGAAUUCGUGGUGUAGCGGUGAAAUGCUUAGAUAUCACGAAGAACUCCGAUUGCGAAGGCAGCCUACUAGACUGUAACUGACGUUGAUGCUCGAAAGUGUGGGUAUCAAACAGGAUUAGAUACCCCUGUAGUC
This 460-nucleotide ribosomal RNA is filed under the name uncultured bacterium. RNAcentral describes it as "partial 16S ribosomal RNA". It matches the Rfam family "Bacterial small subunit ribosomal RNA", at positions 338 to 795 of the family's 1533-position model. The record is from RNAcentral.